This 71-nucleotide transfer RNA is filed under the name Camelus bactrianus (Bactrian camel). It matches the Rfam family "tRNA". From Rfam's summary of the family: Transfer RNA (tRNA) molecules are approximately 80 nucleotides in length. Their secondary structure includes four short double-helical elements and three loops (D, anti-codon, and T loops). RNAcentral also lists the same sequence under 1 other name. The record is from Rfam by way of RNAcentral. Lineage: Eukaryota; Metazoa; Chordata; Mammalia; Artiodactyla; Camelidae.
GAGGAUAUAGCACAGUGGUAGAGUGCAUGCCUAGCAUGCACGAGGUCCUGAAUUCAAUUCCCAGUACCUCU